GCACAGUCAAUGAACACGAAAAUAUUUGCAUAGCGGGAUAAAUCGUCGGGCUGGCGCGCUACGCCACUGUUCGUACCACAAGAUGUGGCAAUCACUAGAUAAAUUAGUCUCAUACCUAUGUUCUGGUUACCGAUUGAGUAUUCCAUCAUUGUUUUUUGUAAUCCAACACAAAUUAUACAUAUAUUCGUCAAUCGUAUAAUUUAUGCAUGAUACAUAACUUGAAAAUUCACUGAAUACCAUUUUCCUAGCCAGUCCCGGCAAUGACAUGUUCUGGCCAAUAAACACGCUGUACGCCAUGGCUGCUCCGCCUUCUGGCCAGUAAACUGCAUAUUUUUUGCAUAAAAAAUGAGAACAGGUUGCACCGCUGAGUGGCUAUCUGUUACUGAUCUUUAUUCUGCGACGAAACUCUAGCAAAAAGUUUAACGAAAAUU
This is a non-coding RNA of Paramuricea clavata, 431 nucleotides long. The record is from the annotation of a GenBank genome assembly. NCBI's taxonomy places the organism in Eukaryota, Metazoa, Cnidaria, Anthozoa, Malacalcyonacea, Plexauridae.